AGUGAACGCUGGCGGUAGGCCUAACACAUGCAAGUCGAACGGCAGCACAGUAAGAGCUUGCUCUUACGGGUGGCGAGUGGCGGACGGGUGAGGAAUACAUCGGAAUCUACUUUUUCGUGGGGGAUAACGUAGGGAAACUUACGCUAAUACCGCAUACGACCUACGGGUGAAAGCAGGGGAUCUUCGGACCUUGCGCGAUUGAAUGAGCCGAUGUCGGAUUAGCUAGUUGGCGGGUGAAAUACCCACCAAGGCGACGAUCCGUAGCUGGUCUGAGAGGAUGAUCGGCCACACUGGAACUGGGACACGGUCCAGACUACUACGGGAGGCAGCAGUGGGGAAUAUUGGACAAUGGGCGCAAGCCUGAUACAGCCAUACCGCGUGGGUGAAGAAGGCCUUCGGGUUGUAAAGCCCUUUUGUUGGGAAAGAAAAGCAGCAGGUUAAUACCCCGCCGUUCUGACGGUACCCAAAGAAUAAGCACCGGCUAACUUCGUG
RNAcentral lists this ribosomal RNA (492 nucleotides) under uncultured bacterium. RNAcentral describes it as "partial 16S ribosomal RNA". It matches the Rfam family "Bacterial small subunit ribosomal RNA", at positions 29 to 507 of the family's 1533-position model. The record is from RNAcentral.